Peromyscus maniculatus bairdii (prairie deer mouse) is the source of this 125-nucleotide long non-coding RNA. RefSeq lists it as uncharacterized. NCBI's taxonomy places the organism in Eukaryota, Metazoa, Chordata, Mammalia, Rodentia, Cricetidae. The record is from RefSeq and is a predicted model, not a curated record.
GAGGAGAGCGGAGGUAAGCAAGAGGCCCUGCCACGGGGCUGCUGGCCUCUGUCCACUGUCCCACCUGCCUUGUGUGCCCCUCUACAUUUCUGAAAGGAGGCUUCUCUGAAGCCACUCAGCUGUGC